This 465-nucleotide ribosomal RNA is filed under the name uncultured bacterium. RNAcentral describes it as "partial 16S ribosomal RNA". It matches the Rfam family "Bacterial small subunit ribosomal RNA", at positions 338 to 795 of the family's 1533-position model. The record is from RNAcentral.
CCUACGGGAGGCUGCAGUAGGGAAUCUUCCACAAUGGGCGAAAGCCUGAUGGAGCAACGCCGCGUGGGUGAAGAAGGUCUUCGGAUCGUAAAACCCUGUUGUUAGAGAAGAAAGUGCGUGAGAGUAACUGUUCACGCUUCGACGGUAUCUAACCAGAAAGCCACGGCUAAAUACGUGCCAGCAGCCGCGGUAAUACGUAGGUGGCAAGCGUUAUCCGGAUUUAUUGGGCGUAAAGGGAGCGCAGGCGGUCUGUUAAGUCUGAUGUGAAAGGCUUCGGCUUAACCGGGGUAUUGCAUUGGAGACUGGGAGACUUGAGUGCAGAAGAGGGGAGUGGAACUCCAUGUGUAGCGGUGAAAUGCGUAGAUAUAUGGAAGAACACCAGUGGCGAAAGCGGCUCUCUGGACUGUAACUGACGCUGAGGUUCGAAAGCGUGGGUAGCAAACAGGAUUAGAUACCCGGGUAGUC